AGGGGGCGCGCAGGGACGCGCGCACUGGCACGUUCGGCCGCGCCCUCGCUCCCGCACACACUUGAUCACUCAGGCCGGGGCGCCCUGGCACGCUGGCUGCCCACUGACUCCCCGGGCAGAGGGAAGGGGAGGGUGUGACCGAGGGGUCCCGGGGAGGACGGCGCAAGCCCAGAAGCGGGUGUCUUUCGGGCGCCGGGCCUAGUGCUCCCGGGCCCGAUGGCCAGGUCCCGCCCCAGGGCUGGAGUUUCCCUCCCGCGCAGGCCCCCGCCCGCCGCAGCCUGCGUACCCGAGCCGGCUGGAGGCGGGCAGGCGGCCCGAAGGCUUGCUCUCUGUUCUAUAGAAAAGACAAGUGUUGGCGCAGUUGGACCCAGUGACUCCCGAGGCCUUUAAUAGUUCUGACAUUUCAUGAAGAAGGAACUGAGCCCAGAAGCCAUAAAAGGAGUAGAUGGAAGCCUGGCUUGGCCCCAGCCGCAGUUUCUUCCUGGUUCAAACGGCCCCCUCGUUUAUUUGGGCUGUGCUGCUUGCCGUAAGAUUCAAAUCUCUUCUCUCGCUACUGUGACUGACGCCACCUGCCUCAGUUUACCCAAUACUUGCCACUUCCGCUGUGCCCCACCAAUGAUGUUGACAAUCUGCUCACCAUGGCACAAGGACGGGCCUGGAGGCAUUUGAUAGCUGGGGCUUAGAAGGGCUCGGAGUGGAUCCACAGUCUCACAAGAGUACUGUGAUGAGCGCCUACUGGGUGCCGCCCGGGGUGGGUGUGGGGGAAGAGUGGGCCGGGCUGCCACAAACAGAAGCCCCUUUCUUCAAGGAGUUUACCAAGGAGAACGUUGAUAAAUAGGACAAAGCCCAGCGGUCCUGGUCCCCCCACCCCCACCCCGCCUCCCCGGCCCAGAGGGAGACGAAAACCAGGGCGCAAGAGAGUGCAGGAGUGGAGCCCCGCGGGGGGACGCGGCCCCGCCCCCGGCCCGGCCCGCAUCCCCGGAUGGCUGAAAGGGCCUCUGUGUUCCGUGCCCCGCCUGCUCGCCGGCCCCGAGCGCGCUUCCUCAGCUGCGCCAGCCCCUGGAGGCUCGGCAGCCCCUCUGGGGACAGACACAAAUAGUUCCCGGCCCAGCUGCCCGGCUAGUUACCUUGGGAACCAAACUCAAUUGCCUGACGUCACCGGGCCGUUGCACAGCAACCGACUCCGACUCUCCCGCCCUGCCGCCCCG
Molecule: long non-coding RNA, 1208 nt
Filed under: Dasypus novemcinctus (nine-banded armadillo)
Lineage: Eukaryota; Metazoa; Chordata; Mammalia; Cingulata; Dasypodidae
Description: lncRNA (ENSDNOG00000051616.1)
Source: RNAcentral